Molecule: ribosomal RNA, 252 nt
Filed under: uncultured bacterium
Lineage: Bacteria
Description: partial 16S ribosomal RNA
Rfam family: Bacterial small subunit ribosomal RNA
Source: RNAcentral
CGGGUGAGUAACGCGUGGGUAACCUGCCCUGUACAGGGGGAUAACAGUCAGAAAUGACUGCUAAUACCGCAUAAGACCACAGCACCGCAUGGUGCAGGGGUAAAAACUCCGGUGGUACAGGAUGGACCCGCGUCUGAUUAGCUGGUUGGUGAGGUAACGGCUCACCAAGGCGACGAUCAGUAGCCGGCUUGAGAGAGUGAACGGCCACAUUGGGACUGAGACACGGCCCAAACUCCUACGGGAGGCAGCAUG